This is a long non-coding RNA of Dreissena polymorpha, 818 nucleotides long. RefSeq lists it as uncharacterized. The record is from RefSeq and is a predicted model, not a curated record. NCBI's taxonomy places the organism in Eukaryota, Metazoa, Mollusca, Bivalvia, Myida, Dreissenidae. The transcript has 3 exons.
UUUCAAUAAAAAACUAUGUAAAACAAUGACAAUAUAUUUGUACAUUCAAACAUUAUCUUAAAACAAUUUGCUAACCAAACAUCGGAUUUUAAACGAAAAACGUUCUUUUCCAAGUACUUCAAGUACUUGGCAACUGGUCAGAAUGGUCCACGUGGUCUGGUUGUGCGGUUACGUGUGACGUGGGUCUAAGAAAGAGUUCCAGAACCUGCACUAAUCCUAAACCAGACCGAUUUGGGGACUAUUGCGUCGGGGAUCCCUUCGAGAAUACAGUUUGUCCUCAAGAACCAUGCGCCAACAGAAAUGGAGGCUAGUCGAGCUGGGGUGCGUGGCAAAGCUGUUCAGUCACGUGUGGAGUGGGUCAGAAGCUGAGGAGCAGGACCUGCACCAGCCCGAGUCCUUCCGCCUACGGCAAGAGUUGUGAGGGCAACUCGCAGACCUCCGCCGUAUGUGUAAACACACAAUUUAUACUCCACGCAUGAAGAGGGCAAGACUGAUGGAUGGAUGGAUGGAAGGACAGACUGACUGACAAUGCAGUUUCUAUAUGCCUCCCUUUUGGGUCAUGAGAAAUACAGAAAGCAAAUGGAUACUAGAAAAUGGAGCUGAAUUGUUCCAAGGACACAAAUAACAACAACUACACAAGACAUUUGUUAACGGAAUUUGUGAACACUGACUAGAAAAAAAAGCAUUAUCUCACCAAAUCGAUUCUUGACUAACACUGGGAAGUCUGUCUCUAAGGGCUCUCCUAUUCCGUAUAUGUUCUCAGCCAUGACCCUGAACUUGAACUAGACUCCAGUCUUCAGUCCAGUGACUAUAAUGGA